RNAcentral lists this long non-coding RNA (630 nucleotides) under Oreochromis niloticus (Nile tilapia). RNAcentral's name for it is "lncRNA (ENSONIG00000041286.1)". The record is from RNAcentral. Lineage: Eukaryota; Metazoa; Chordata; Actinopteri; Cichliformes; Cichlidae.
AUGUUACGAGGAAAAUUUGGCCCAACUGUCACUAGCCAAGGCAAGAGGCGCACCUGGGACACAAUAUCCCAAACAAUCAAUGCCUCUUUUCCACUGGUGGUGCGGACAGGCGACGAUUGUGAGAAAAGGUGGUAUGUGCUGCAGUCCAAGGCAAAAGAUGAGAUUGCAGCACAUAAGCGGGAAUCCUCACUCACAGGGGGUGGACCACCCGCAAAGCGGCUGUCCCAGGUGGCCGACACUGUCUUUCAAGUCCUGGGACACUCUGAGGUCAGUGUCACCGGGCUGCCAACAGGCAUUGACACAUCAAUGAUGCAGGCCCUUGAAGUGCAGCAAAGCAUGGAGCCAUCACAAGAACCGGGCCCAUCAAGUUUGCCGAUGAGAUUGCCGCCUGAACCAUCUGCAGCUGCUACUCAGGAUAGCCCGGCGGAUCAAACACCAUUCCCAUCCGCAGCACCUGCUCCGUCAACAUCCCUGCAGGAGAGCAGAUUGCAACUCACAAUUGAUGUGUUUGAACAACAAAAAAAAGUCCUUUCCCUUCAGGAGGAGUACUACCGCCUUAAAAUUGAACACCUAAAAAAUAAACCAUUUACAUAUUGUGUUCUGUGUCUUGCAUUUAACAAUUGCAGGUGA